CAGGACACGCUGGCGGCGUGCCUAACACAUGCAAGUCGAACGGAACGAAAAGAGCUUGCUCUUGGCGUUUAGUGGCGGACGGGUGAGUAACACGUGAGUAACCUGCCGUUUCAGAGGGGGAAUAAUGUCUGGAAAACGGACACUAAAUACCGCAUAAAAUAUUUUUAAACCGCAUGAUUGAAAUAUCAAAGGAGCAAUCCGCUGAAAGAUGGACUCGCGUCUGAUUAGCCAGUUGGCGGGGUAACGGCCCACCAAAGCGACGAUCAGUAGCCGGACUGAGAGGUUGAACGGCCACAUUGGGACUGAGACACGGCCCAGACUCCUACGGGAGGCAGCAGUGGGGGAUAUUGCACAAUGGGCGCAAGCCUGAUGCAGACCAACGCCGCGUGCAGGAAGACGGUUCUUCGGAUUGUAAACUGUUGUCCUCUGUGACGAUAAUGACGGUAGCAGAGGAGGAAGCCACGGCUAACUACGUGCCAGCAGCCGC
This 487-nucleotide ribosomal RNA is filed under the name uncultured bacterium. RNAcentral describes it as "bacterial SSU rRNA". It matches the Rfam family "Bacterial small subunit ribosomal RNA", at positions 33 to 518 of the family's 1533-position model. The record is from RNAcentral.